Oreochromis niloticus (Nile tilapia) is the source of this 1298-nucleotide long non-coding RNA. RefSeq lists it as uncharacterized. The record is from RefSeq and is a predicted model, not a curated record. The transcript is spliced from 3 exons. Lineage: Eukaryota; Metazoa; Chordata; Actinopteri; Cichliformes; Cichlidae.
CCGGGAGUGUGGGCGGGGCUUGGGAAAGAGGUCGAUCCAGUCAGUGAUCCCACUGCCAUGAGCCUCCCAGUAAUGGCGCCCACUGUCGAUGUAGACAUUUCCCGUGACACCGUAGCUGCUGUGGCUGGAGAAGCGGUCCUGACUAUGGCUCUUCUUGGACGAUGUCUCAUCCCUCUCUACUGUCAGGUUGUCAUGGGACACCCUCAGCUUCCGUUUUAAACCACCUCUUCUCUGCCAAAUGUCAAAUCAAUGCGUACUGCUCUAAGCAACCGAGUCUGCUAUGCCUGCGACCAGCCAACCACACCAAAGUGAGUGACCACGCUGGCGAAGAAGAAUGCCUCUCAGUGCUGGAUAUUGCUAAAAAUUCAACAAUGGUUUCCUUCUAAAAUGAGAAACGGGCUUUGACACUAAACAGAAUAAAGCUUCUUCACCAGCUGUGAAAGUGCUUUCUAAAUCAAAAUGCAGUGGACUUGAACUAGUUUUACUGAAGACAUCAAAUGUAGUAAGUUAGUAAUUAAUACAGUCAUAUUUAUGUUUGAACAGGUUAACUAGUAGUCUUUAUUCUAUAACCUUUCAAAAAGAACUUUUACAACACUGAUUGUGAUUUUUAUAAAACUUUAAAAGUACCCACAUACCGUGUGCCGCCGAGCUGUUCUAGUAUAAGUUCUCUAAUGCCCAUGUUUGGAAAUUUAUAUCACGAGAACAUGCAAGGCGUACGUCAAAGUCAAGAGGUGAAACUAAUACCUGCCAAAUACACGAGUGCAAUCUCUUUUUAAUUAGGCUUACACAAGGUCAUAACAGUGAAAUGAAGAAAAUUAAACAUAUCCGUUUUCUACUAUCACUGAAAAUAAAUAUUUCAGCACUGUGGUUGAGUAUCCCACCGUCACCUCGUUAUAGAGUAGUCCUGGGUCUUAAUUUCAUUUCCUUCUCUUGUUUUCCACGUGUUUACAUGGGUUUCUUCCCACGGUUUUAAUCUAGCUGGUUUGAUCAGCUCAAGCUUUACAACGUCUGCAUGAGUGUUUCGUAUGUUUACAUAUAAGCUCUGUGAUUAUCUGGCAAAAAAGGGGGUUUUCCUUAAUGCUUCUGCCUUUCCUAUGACUUUAAUAGGAAAUAUAAGAAAAUAUAAGAUGGAUAGAUAUUUAGAUUUAUUUAACUGGGAUCAUGUCACAUAAAUGAGGCUGAAACACAGACACGCACACAAAGACACACAUGUGUGCCUUUACAAGUCACAGUAUCCCUUUGUCUGGGAAUUUGCGAGAAAUGUGAGGCACUGUGGCUAUAAACAUGUGCUUGAAAAA